This 1270-nucleotide ribosomal RNA is filed under the name metagenome. Its description in RNAcentral is "bacterial LSU rRNA". It matches the Rfam family "Bacterial large subunit ribosomal RNA", at positions 1158 to 2432 of the family's 2925-position model. The record is from RNAcentral.
ACUGCCCUUUGAUGUAACGGGGCUAAGCCAGUUACCGAAGCUGCGGAUUUGCAAUUUAUUGCAAGUGGUAGGAGAGCGUUCUGUAAGCCUGUGAAGGUGGCUUGUAAAGGCUGCUGGAGGUAUCAGAAGUGCGAAUGCUGACAUGAGUAGCGUUAAAGCGGGUGAAAAGCCCGCUCGCCGUAAGCGCAAGGUUUUCUACGCAACGUUCAUCGGCGUAGAGUGAGUCGGCCCCUAAGGUGAGGCAGAGAUGCGUAACUGAUGGGAAACAGGUCAAUAUUCCUGUACCGAUGUGUAGUGCGAUGUGGGGACGGAUCUUAAUAGGUCAUCCGGGUGUUGGAUAUCCCGGUUUAGGCAGAUGUAGGCGACAGGUAGGCAAAUCCGCCUGUCAUAUACCGAGGCUGCCGAUCGAGCGAGCUUGCUCGCGAAGUGAUUGAACGAGGUUCCAGGAAAAGCCACUAAGCUUCAGCUACACACGACCGUACCGCAAACCGACACUGGUGCGCGAGAUGAGUAUUCUAAGGCGCUUGAGAGAACUCGGGAGAAGGAACUCGGCAAAUUGACACCGUAACUUCGGAAGAAGGUGUGCCCUAUUAGUGUGAAGAGAACAACGGAGCAUGAAUGGGUUGCAAAAAAUCGGUGGCUGCGACUGUUUAUUAAAAACACAGCACUCUGCAAACACGAAAGUGGACGUAUAGGGUGUGACGCCUGCCCGGUGCUGGAAGAUUAAAUGAUGGGGUGCAAGCUCUUGAUUGAAGUCCCAGUAAACGGCGGCCGUAACUAUAACGGUCCUAAGGUAGCGAAAUUCCUUGUCGGGUAAGUUCCGACCUGCACGAAUGGCGUAACGAUGGCCACACUGUCUCCUCCCGAGACUCAGCGAAGUUGAAAUGUUUGUGAUGAUGCAAUCUCCCCGCGGAAAGACGGAAAGACCCCAUGAACCUUUACUGUAGCUUUGUAUUGGACUUUGAACAGAUCUGUGUAGGAUAGGUGGGAGGCUUUGAAGCAGGGUCGCUAGAUCUUGUGGAGCCAACGUUGAAAUACCACCCUGGUGUGUUUGAGGUUCUAACCUAGGUCCAUUAUCUGGAUCGGGGACAGUGCAUGGUAGGCAGUUUGACUGGGGCGGUCUCCUCCCAAAGCGUAACGGAGGAGUUCGAAGGUACGCUAGUUACGGUCGGACAUCGUGACGAUAGUGCAAUGGCAUAAGCGUGCUUAACUGCGAGACUGACAAGUCGAGCAGAUGCGAAAGCAGGACAUAGUGAUCCGGUGGUUCUAC